AAAAAAUAUAGUGCUGUUGAGAGCGUAAAAAUCAGGAUCAUGAAAUGGCCUUGCAUGUUGGUUCAGGAAGAAAGAGUUGCAGCCAAGGAUGACUUGCCGACUUUUGUAUUACUCUUCAUAUAUAUAUAUAUAUAUGUAUAUAUGGAAAUUACAUUAAACUUGGAAGAGAAAGUUGGCAAGUGGUCCUUGGCUACAUCUUUCUUUCUGCCCCUCAUGCCAGGUCUUUCCUGUACAUCAUUAUUAAUUCCUUCUACAAAACCAUGGUGUGACUUAAGCAUACAUAUGGUGUUCCUUCGCAGUUCCCAGAUCAAGUAGUAGGGACGAACAUUCAGAAAUUAAAUGUGAUAUCUUUGUGUGUUGACUGCGUGAAACAACAUGAGUAAGUUGUAUUUUUCGGUACAAAAUGCUUUCAUUAGAGUUGAGUCAAACUUUAUGAACUUAUAAGAUCGAUUUGUUCUUAAUUUCAUAGUUUUCAAACUUUGGAUAUUUACACAUGCAUGUACAAAAGUAAUUAAAAGAUGUAGUCGUAGUAGUUCGUUAGAUUCAUAUAAAAUAUAUGAUACAUGUUUUCAAUAAUGAGUAUGAUUGGUAUA
Long non-coding RNA from Solanum pennellii, 593 nucleotides. RefSeq lists it as uncharacterized. The record is from RefSeq and is a predicted model, not a curated record. NCBI's taxonomy places the organism in Eukaryota, Viridiplantae, Streptophyta, Magnoliopsida, Solanales, Solanaceae. The transcript has 2 exons.